GAGACAAAAAUUGCUAGCCACGAUGCAUGGUGAUAAAGAUCCUCAAUAAUAAUGAGCUGUGAUGAAGAUUAGGAUGAUGCCGAGCAGUGGUGGCUAUCAGUAAUAGUAGUGGACAAAUUGGGGAGCGCCAACAAUCAUAGAUGGCAUGAGGAUCAUCGACAAUUGGAGGCGGCGGUUAGAUGGUAAGUGGGGAACGAUGGUGGGCAGUGAGAGA
RNAcentral lists this long non-coding RNA (214 nucleotides) under Phoenix dactylifera (date palm). Its description in RNAcentral is "long non-coding RNA (PDAC_LNC000924)". Lineage: Eukaryota; Viridiplantae; Streptophyta; Magnoliopsida; Arecales; Arecaceae. The record is from RNAcentral.